AAUAGAUACCCGGGUAGUCCACCCCGUAAACGUUGGGAACUAGUUGUGGGGUCCUUUCCACGGAUUCCGUGACGCAGCUAACGCAUUAAGUUCCCCGCCUGGGGAGUACGGCCGCAAGGCUAAAACUCAAAGGAAUUGACGGGGACCCGCACAAGCGGCGGAGCAUGCGGAUUAAUUCGAUGCAACGCGAAGAACCUUACCAAGGCUUGACAUACACCAGAACACCCUAGAAAUAGGGGACUCUUUGGACACUGGUGAACAGGUGGUGCAUGGUUGUCGUCAGCUCGUGUCGUGAGAUGUUGGGUUAAGUCCCGCAACGAGCGCAACCCUCGUUCUAUGUUGCCAGCACGUAAUGGUGGGAACUCAUGGGAUACUGCCGGGGUCAACUCGGAGGAAGGUGGGGAUGACGUCAAAUCAUCAUGCCCCUUAUGUCUUGGGCUUCACGCAUGCUACAAUGGCCGGUACAAAGGGCUGCAAUACCGUGAGGUGGAGCGAAUCCCAAAAAGCCGGUCCCAGUUCGGAUUGAGGUCUGCAACUCGACCUCA
RNAcentral lists this ribosomal RNA (545 nucleotides) under uncultured bacterium. RNAcentral describes it as "bacterial SSU rRNA". It matches the Rfam family "Bacterial small subunit ribosomal RNA", at positions 777 to 1320 of the family's 1533-position model. The record is from RNAcentral.